This 780-nucleotide ribosomal RNA is filed under the name uncultured bacterium. Its description in RNAcentral is "bacterial SSU rRNA". It matches the Rfam family "Bacterial small subunit ribosomal RNA", at positions 725 to 1504 of the family's 1533-position model. The record is from RNAcentral.
UCUGCUGGGCCAUCACUGACGCUCAUGGACGAAAGCCAGGGGAGCGAAAGGGAUUAGAUACCCCUGUAGUCCUGGCCGUAAACGAUGAACACUAGGUGUCGGGGGAAUCGACCCCCUCGGUGUCGUAGCCAACGCGUUAAGUGUUCCGCCUGGGGAGUACGCACGCAAGUGUGAAACUCAAAGGAAUUGACGGGGGCCCGCACAAGCGGUGGAGUAUGUGGUUUAAUUCGAUGCAACGCGAAGAACCUUACCAGGGUUUGACAUCCUGCGAAUCUCUUGGAAACGAGAGAGUGCCUUCGGGAGCGCAGUGACAGGUGGUGCAUGGCUGUCGUCAGCUCGUGUCGUGAGAUGUUGGGUUAAGUCCCGCAACGAGCGCAACCCACGUCUUUAGUUGCCAGCAUUUAGUUGGGCACUCUAGAGAGACCGCCGGUGAUAAACCGGAGGAAGGUGUGGAUGACGUCAAGUCAUCAUGCCCCUUACAUCCUGGGCUACACACGUACUACAAUGCUACGGACAAAGGGCAGCAAGUUCGCGAGGACAAGCAAAUCCCAUAAACCGUGGCUCAGUUCAGAUCGUAGGCUGCAACUCGCCUACGUGAAGGAGGAAUCGCUAGUAAUCGCAGGUCAGCAUACUGCGGUGAAUACGUUCCCGGGCCUUGUACACACCGCCCGUCACACCAUGGAAGUUGGCCACGCCCGAAGCCGUUACUCCAACCCUUGUGGAGGAGGACGUCGAAGGUGGGGCUGAUGACUGGGGUGAAGUCGUAACAAGGUAACCGUA